This 1534-nucleotide unclassified non-coding RNA is filed under the name Hevea brasiliensis (rubber tree). The record is from RNAcentral. Lineage: Eukaryota; Viridiplantae; Streptophyta; Magnoliopsida; Malpighiales; Euphorbiaceae.
AUGUCCAUUGAAGACAAUGUCAACACCAUACUUAUACAGCAAUUCUUCCAUUUCUACCCUCAUACACUCUGCUUCUCUGUAAUGUGCCUUGUAGGUGCUAUACCAGGGAGGAUGCCAUGUAGCCACCAACCAUGGAGUGACUUCUCUGUCAACUUUAGCUAGAUCUCUCUCCAACCACUUGUACUGAUCAGCUGAUUUGUUAUAGAAAAUGUAGGCACCCAACAUAAUAAAAUGUAUUCCCCCAGCAUUAAAAGAAUAAUAGAAUGUGGACGGUGAUCCACUCUCUUUUGAUGGGAAUGCAAAUCGAGAACUAUAAGCAACAAAUGUUUGAUUUUCUGCCUGUUGUUCUAUCUCAUGGUUCCCUUCAACCACCAUAAUUGGAAUUUUAGAUAUUACAGGCUGCAUGUACCUUCCCCAGUAGUCCCAGCGAGGCUGAUAUGUCUCAUGAAUGGGAGUUUGUGAAAAUGCACAAGAGUAGCAAUCAGACCCAGUUCCAUUAGUGAGAUACAAGUUAGCAUAAGUAACAUCUCCAAUCAAUAAAAGAAGAUCAGGAUGGUUUCUGAACAUGUGAUCAACUGUUGAAGUUGUAUUAUAUGUAAGACCUAAGUCUCCCACUAUUGCUAUUCUGCUGGGGUAAUUAUUGGGAACUGAAGCUGGCAUAGUCCUGAAAUGAUAAAUAUUACUCAUUGCUGGUAUAGAAGGAUCUCCACACUGAUAAUAAUAUUGUGUUUUAGGUUUCAACCCUGUGAGAAGAACAUGGUGAAUAAUUCCAGAACUAUAGUUUUGGAGGCCCUCAAAAGGAUACAAUUGAUUGUAAACAAGAGAAUAACCAGUAGCUUGAUGAGUUAACUGAAAUCUUGACAUUCCAUGUCCAACAACGCUAGCUACAGUGCUUGGAUUUAGUGGUCUUGUGUUGGCCCCAAUUUGAUAUUGGCCUUAUCCAUGCGAAUCAAGCCAAAGGGCUGAAGUAUAAAAGUAAAGAAACAAUGGGAAAAGAGACCUGUGAUCCAAGAAAUCCAAACUGAAUCAUGGGUUGCAGAGAGAGACACAGAAAUUUGCUCAGGCUCAAAAUCCUGAACCCUCCUACGUACUCGAGGGUCAGUAUCUGGCAAGUCCACAGCAUUCCCACGAAAGCUCUUGUCAAGAGGCACAGUCACGGGCUUAAAGGGUCCUUGGAGAGUCGUUUGUAUAUCCCCAUGAACAAGAAGUGGGCUUAGCAGAAGAUAAAAACAAAGUGCAAUAAUAGGCACUGAGACCAACCCCAUUGAACUACACAUAUCUGAGGAUUUAUAACUAUCUGCAUGAAUGAAAGAUUAUGAUCACCAAGCAAAAGAGAAGAAAGAGAGGGUGGCAAAAGAUUUUGAAGGUGAUGAAGGAAGAGGACAGUGUAAGAAAACCGUCAAGGCCAUCUUACCACAAGGAAGAGGGUGAAUUUGGGGAGCGAAAGGUGGCGUUUCCAGUGACGUAUUACCCAUAUAUAUAAUUAAUAAAUCAAAAGUAAUUAACCAAUGACACAUAUGCGUAGUAGUAAGGU